CUUAACCCCUCUCAUGCAACAUUUGCAGAAAAGUCCCUCAACAAAGCCUCUCUUGCAACAGCCCAAACUGGGCCAUUUUCGCGCUCGGGGACCGGUCCUUGCGAUGAGAGACCGGUCCCUGAGAGACCGGUCCUUGGCUGAGAGACCGGUCCCCGAAGGUCCAGAACUCAGCCUCAAGGACUUAGCCAAAUUUUCAGCAUUUUCGCCCGUUUUCGUCCGUUUUCGCUCGUUGACUUCCGAUUCGUCUCAAAUCGAACCGAGACUCUCCAAAUAUGUUUCCAAACAUGUUUUCAUCAUCUUUCCAUCCUCGCUAAUGCUGGAUUUAGCUCACGGCCCAACUUAGCCUUCUGGGUUCCGUUUUCGCGCCUAUGCGCACCGAAACGCCCGAUUGCCCCAGAACUUCACCAAACUUCACCGGGACCAUUCAAACAGCUCUCCAACCAAAUGUACACCGUAACUUCAUGAUUUUAGAAGUCCG
RNAcentral lists this long non-coding RNA (478 nucleotides) under Ananas comosus (pineapple). RNAcentral describes it as "long non-coding RNA (ACOM_LNC037537)". The record is from RNAcentral. Lineage: Eukaryota; Viridiplantae; Streptophyta; Magnoliopsida; Poales; Bromeliaceae.